This 253-nucleotide ribosomal RNA is filed under the name uncultured bacterium. RNAcentral describes it as "partial 16S ribosomal RNA". It matches the Rfam family "Bacterial small subunit ribosomal RNA", at positions 524 to 776 of the family's 1533-position model. The record is from RNAcentral.
UACGAAGGGGGCUAGCGUUGCUCGGAAUCACUGGGCGUAAAGGGUGCGUAGGCGGGUCUUUAAGUCAGGGGUGAAAUCCUGGAGCUCAACUCCAGAACUGCCUUUGAUACUGAAGAUCUUGAGUUCGGGAGAGGUGAGUGGAACUGCGAGUGUAGAGGUGAAAUUCGUAGAUAUUCGCAAGAACACCAGUGGCGAAAGCGACUUCCUGGACCAAUACUGACGCUCAUGUGCGAAAGCGUGGGGAGCAAACAGG